GGGGGGGGGGGUAGGGGGUUUUAAUUUUAUUAAAACAUAAUGGUUCUCUUAGGGAAAAUGUGGGAGUUUUUGCGAUUGAGAUUUAAAAAAAAAAACUUUUCACAAUGCAUGAUUGAUCAUGUGGUGUGACAAGUUAACUCCCUUCUUUCAAGGAUAGAUUAUCGUUUCAUAAAACGCUAAUAAGAAUUUCCUUUUUGUCUUUUUGAAACAAACUGUAUUCUAUUCUGUAUUUUGAAG
RNAcentral lists this long non-coding RNA (237 nucleotides) under Mytilus galloprovincialis (Mediterranean mussel). Lineage: Eukaryota; Metazoa; Mollusca; Bivalvia; Mytilida; Mytilidae. The record is from RNAcentral.